AUAUAUAUAUAUAUAUAGGCCAUGGCUACUAUACUAUUAUGAGUAUUGGAGCCCUUGUACUCAUAAGUUGUUUUCAAUGAUGGAGCUUCCGAAUUGACGAUCGACUCCAUUAAACAUGAUCUAGAGUAUUUGAAACUUCUAGACAAUAAAUUUCGUAAAUUUUCGAAAUCGUAAUAAAGUCCAUCAAGUGGGCAUAAAAUGAAAGGUCAAAAUCGAACGACAUCCUAAAAAAGGAUGAUCGGAUCCUUCAAUUCAAGAUCGGAGUUAUUGAUCUUUAUCUAUGUAGUGAAUAGAAUUUUCUAUCAAAAAUUCAACAAAUCUCGAUUCUUUUACACCGUUAAAUUAGCAAGUAUCUCAUACCAGCCGUUAAAAAUUGUCAAAUUUGUGACCUCUUGAUCGUAAGGUAAAUGAUGUCGAAAAGUUAUAAAAUUUGAUUUCUAGAAGUUUUAAAUGCUGUAAAUAACGUUUAACGGUGUGGAUCGUCGAUUCGGAAGCUCUAUCAUCGGAAACAACUUAUGAGUACGAGGGCGAUCGUACUCAUAAUAGUAUAGUAGCCGGACCCUAUAUAUAUAUAUAUAUAUAUAUGGAGAAAUGAGAUAAUUUAGAGUGUUUUAUUAAGAUAAUAUCAAAAUUAGAUGUCAAAAUAUAAGUUUCGAAAAGUAAGAU
This 666-nucleotide long non-coding RNA is filed under the name Ananas comosus (pineapple). Its description in RNAcentral is "long non-coding RNA (ACOM_LNC016512)". The record is from RNAcentral. Lineage: Eukaryota; Viridiplantae; Streptophyta; Magnoliopsida; Poales; Bromeliaceae.